This is an RNA transcript of Haplochromis burtoni (Burton's mouthbrooder), 1266 nucleotides long. It is a transcript of the gene named leucine rich repeat containing 39, with no coding region annotated. The record is from RefSeq and is a predicted model, not a curated record. The transcript has 8 exons. Lineage: Eukaryota; Metazoa; Chordata; Actinopteri; Cichliformes; Cichlidae.
AUGAUGGUGGGCGUGGUGGUAGCAUGCAGCUCGGUGAGCUCCAUCAAAGCACUGUGGGAGACCAGGAUCAGGAGGAGGAGGGAGGAGCAUGAGGAGGAGCACAAGAGGAGGACCACGAGGGGCGGGGCCACAGGCAGACUUGGAGUCGGGCUUUGGGAAGACCGAGCGGCGCUGGCACGGCUAAAGCAGAAGCUGGAGACAGAGGACGGCCGGCUGGUCCUCCGGAUCGAGCAGGAGGAGUGGAAGGUUCUGCCAGGCUGCCUGAUCCAGCUCAGUCAGGUCCAGGAGUGGCAGAUCCACCGGACCGGACUACUGAAGAUCCCUCACUUCAUCUCUAGCUUCCAGAACCUUCUGGUGCUCGAUCUGUCCCGGAACGGAGUCGCUGAGAUCCCCAAACAGAUCGGAAAGCUGACCCGGCUCAGAGAGCUGCUGCUGAGCUACAACAGAAUCCCGUUUGUCCCGGCAGAGCUGAGCGGGUGUGAGAGCCUGGAGAGGCUGGAGCUGGCAAUGAACCGGGACCUAAAUGAGCUACCAGACCAGCUCGGGACGCUGUCGCGGCUGCAGCAUGUUGAUCUUUCCAUGAACGACUUCAGCUGCCUGCCUGCUUGCCUGCUCGCCCUGCCGGCGCUCGAGUGGCUCGACAUGGGAGGAAACUGCCUGCAUCACUUACCUGAAGACAUACACAGAAUGGAGGUGCUACACACUCUGUGGCUGCAGAGGAAUGAGCUGGAGAAGCUUCCGGAGAACAUCGCCAGAAUGAGGAGCCUGGACACGCUGGUGCUCAGCAGCAACAGGCUGAGAGACAUUCCACCGCUCAUGGAGGGCAUGUCCAGCCUCAGGUUUGUGAACUUCCGGGAUAACCCCCUGACUCUGGACGUGACGCUGCCGAGCAGGAAGGCGGUGGCUGAGGAGGAAGAGGAGGAAGAUGACAGGGAGAUGUUCGGGAAAGAGUUCAUGCUCAUGUACAUCCAGGAGGCCCGAAAGAGAGCGUACGCCGUGCUCAACGUGCACUGCGUCAACCGUUAGUACUGAGCAUGCUCACUGACCUGCGUGCGCUAACACGCUAACCUGUGUGUGUGCCAAACAUCUCAUGGGGGCAGUGACCCUCAACGACGUCAACAAACAGGAAGCUAAACCCCAACUGACCCCUCUGACCUCAGAGUCCGAUGGUGAGUCCAAUGACGAAUCCUCAGCAUGAAAUACGGCCCCAUGUCUUUUUUUCUUCUUCUGAGCUUCUCCCUUUUAAAGACACUUCCACAAAGCCAC